This 614-nucleotide ribosomal RNA is filed under the name Hymenochaete separabilis. RNAcentral describes it as "SSU rRNA". It matches the Rfam family "Bacterial small subunit ribosomal RNA", at positions 396 to 963 of the family's 1533-position model. Lineage: Eukaryota; Fungi; Basidiomycota; Agaricomycetes; Hymenochaetales; Hymenochaetaceae. The record is from RNAcentral.
GAAACGUAGCUACUGAAUCUUUAUGUGUCAUUAAAGAUAAUGUAAAGGAAAAUAAUGAUAUUACUUUACUAUUAGUGUCGUCCAAAUACUCGUGCCAGAAGACUCGGUAAGGCGAGAGACGCAAACGUUAUUCGUCUUGAUCAGGCGUAAAGGGUGUGUAGGCUGCUUUAAGUAUUUAAACAGUGUUUACUGUUAUAAUUACUACAAUUUAACUUUAUUAAAUUGGUUUAAUAAAUCUAUUUAAGAAAAGCAAUUGAAAGGAUUAUAAUAUCUGUAUAAAUCAAUUAAAGCUAGAAUCUAAAAGAGGUUAAAACAAUACUUAAGGUAGGAGUACUAACCGUAAAUAUUAAGUAGAGUGCUAACGGCGAAGGCAUUUAUCCACUACAGAUUGACGCUGAGAAACGAAAGUGAGGGCAGAAAAAAGGAUUAGAGACCCUUGUAUUCCUCACUGUCAACGAUGAAUGGUAGUUAUUAGUUAGAAAUAAACUAGAGGCGAUGUUAACACGUAAACCAUUCCGCCUUGUGAGUACAACUGCAAAGUUGAAAACAAAAAAAUUAGUCGGUUUCGGAGCAAACGAAGUGAAGCAUGUUAUUUAAUUCAUAAAAAUCCCGCG